AGUGAACGCUGGCGGUAGGCCUAACACAUGCAAGUCGAACGGCAGCACAGUAAGAGCUUGCUCUUACGGGUGGCGAGUGGCGGACGGGUGAGGAAUACAUCGGAAUCUACUUUUUCGUGGGGGAUAACGUAGGGAAACUUACGCUAAUACCGCAUACGACCUACGGGUGAAAGCAGGGGAUCUUCGGACCUUGCGCGAUUGAAUGAGCCGAUGUCGGAUUAGCUAGUUGGCGGGGUAAAGGCCCACCAAGGCGACGAUCCGUAGCUGGUCUGAGAGGAUGGGCAGCCACACUGGGAGUGAGACAGGGGCCAGAGUCAUACGGGAAGGAGCCAGGGGGAAAAUGGGGGAAGGGGUGGAAGAUAGAUCCAAAGAUGCGGCGGGGGGAAAGAGGGACGUCGGGUGGGGAAGGCCGUAGGUUGGGAAGGAAAAGGAGCAGGAUGAUAACGAGGUGUGAGGAAGGGAACUGGAGAAGGAACAACGGCUAAAUUAGUG
This 492-nucleotide ribosomal RNA is filed under the name uncultured bacterium. Its description in RNAcentral is "partial 16S ribosomal RNA". The stretch from base 20 to 337 matches the Rfam family "Bacterial small subunit ribosomal RNA", at positions 47 to 358 of the family's 1533-position model. The record is from RNAcentral.